Molecule: long non-coding RNA, 1645 nt
Organism: Gasterosteus aculeatus aculeatus (three-spined stickleback)
Lineage: Eukaryota; Metazoa; Chordata; Actinopteri; Perciformes; Gasterosteidae
Source: Ensembl
UGAAUACGGACAGCGGCGCUCACCUGGUGCCUCCUCUGCUUUGGGCUCCGAAUCACUCGCUGGGGCCUCAACUUUCUCUGUUGGCGAAGGAAGAGAAGGAUUUGUACAGCAUCGCUGUCCUUGUUACUUCUGGAUAAUCCACAGAACGCAACCCUGAGCACAAAUAGAGCCACAGAAAGCCAGUUGAUGUGUGACACACAGUGAUGAAUAGAGACGCACAGCUUGAACCUUCUCACCUCCACAACACUGAGAGGUUUGGUUUUGCUGAGAUAAAGUGGGGAAGGUCACUGAAGGAUGCUACAGAAGAAUUAAAGCCAAGUAACAGCCUAUAGCCAAAGAGCUGCAGCUGCCGGCUCCGAGGGGCUUUCGGCUGCCGCUGCUUCGGCAGGUGCUGCGGCCUCUUCAGGCGGACUGGCUGCAGCAGGCGGAGGCGCCUCCUCUGCGGAUAGAGCUUCAGCAGGGUCAUCUGCAGAUGCUGCAGCUGCAACAGGUUCAUCUGCAGGUUUUGCAUCGCCGGCGGCGGCAGGGGUUUGGUCAGGAAUAGUUUCGCUGUCCUCGGCUAUGUUGCCAUUUUCAUUGGCCGCCCCUGUCGGGAACAUACACAUUAACAAGAAGCACGAUUCAAACAGACUGAUUAUAAAGUAAAACCUAUGUAUUAAAUAUAAAACCAGUACAAAUGUACGGACUACGUUGAAUGCAGUCAAGUGCAUGACUUAUGACCCAUAUUGUUGGGUUCAUGCCGCUGAUAUGGAUUGAGAAGGCAAAACUGUUGAAGAUGAGAAGCAUGAUGACAUUUGCAUGAAACACAGGGGCUUGUAACACUUUAAGGCACAUGAUACCUGAGUUAAGGGACGAGCAGUAGUUUUUUCUGGGGUGAUAUGUCUCCCGAAUGAUAUUGCUCUGGCUAUUAGGUUACACGCUAAAUCCUAAGUGUCCCUGGCCCAAAUCCUUUGCUGCACCUCUUUCUCUUGUUUCCUGACAUCUCUCCACUCCUGUAUGUGAUAUAAAGUCUCCUAAAAUCCUAGAAUUAAACUCCAAUCACUGGCUGUUGACCAUGCAAAGCUCCCACCAAACCAAAACCACAGUGUGUACACUUAUUCGAGAAACAUAAUUCUACACGGUCAACUCCUCCCCCCUUUUAUUUACUGGGUAAAUAAUAAAUUAUGUUUUGGCACCAUGCCACAGGCCAUUGGGAAGGAAGUAAAUAUGGAAUAAAUCGACCUCCACUGGUGCAAAAAGGGUUAAUCAUUACAUGGAUUGUUGUUAAUUAACACAGUCAGCCUCACACUGGGCAGUUCACAGCUAUGUGGACAGGUUGCUAUGUGCUUGAUACUGUGCAAGCAUCUUUUUGUUUAAUGGAUUUGCAUUGGGAGUAUAUUUGCAUGGAUCAUAGAAGUCUGGGCUGUCUAUCGUCUAUGUUGGUAUAAGUAAGAUACCCUUUCCUUUUCCAUUUCUCAUGACAUCUGUCACAAUACUUUCCUUAAAAGGAGAUUGUGUUCUAUAAAUGUUUAAAUAAAUCAACCUUUGAUUAAUAGACGUCAUCUAUGUCUUUUGGGUAUGAAAAGUAGCAUUAGGUGAAGGAAAUGAGCCUCAUGCAAAAACAAGACGGCACCCUGAUAGAUUUCCCUCUGACCUCUAAGACGAU